CCUACGGGUGGCAGCAGUGAGGAAUAUUGGUCAAUGGACGAGAGUCUGAACCAGCCAAGUAGCGUGAAGGAUGACUGCCCUACGGGUUGUAAACUUCUUUUAUAAAGGAGUAAAACGCGGCACGUGUGCCUUUUUGCAUGUACUUUAUGAAUAAGGAUCGGCUAACUCCGUGCCAGCAGCCGCGGUAAUACGGAGGGUGCGAGCGUUAUCCGGAUUUAUUGGGUUUAAAGGGAGCGGAGAUGGGUUGUUAAGUCAGUUGUGAAAGUCUGCGGCUCAACCGUCAAAUUGCAAUUGAUACUGGCAGGCUUGAGUGCAGUGGAGGUAGGCGGAAUUCGUGGUGUAGCGGUGAAAUGCUUAGAUAUCACGAAGAACCCCGAUUGCGAAGGCAGCUUACUAGACUGUGACUGACAUUGAUGCUCGAAAGUGUGGGUAUCAAACAGGAUUAGAUACCCCUGUAGUC
Molecule: ribosomal RNA, 460 nt
Filed under: uncultured bacterium
Lineage: Bacteria
Description: partial 16S ribosomal RNA
Rfam family: Bacterial small subunit ribosomal RNA
Source: RNAcentral